CGGAAGUCUGACCGAGCAACGCCGCGUGAGUGAAGAAGGUUUUCGGAUCGUAAAGCUCUGUUGUAAGAGAAGAACGAGUGUGAGAGUGGAAAGUUCACACUGUGACGGUAUCUUACCAGAAAGGGACGGCUAACUACGUGCCAGCAGCCGCGGUAAUACGUAGGUCCCGAGCGUUGUCCGGAUUUAUUGGGCGUAAAGCGAGCGCAGGCGGUUAGAUAAGUCUGAAGUUAAAGGCUGUGGCUUAACCAUAGUACGCUUUGGAAACUGUUUAACUUGAGUGCAAGAGGGGAGAGUGGAAUUCCAUGUGUAGCGGUGAAAUGCGUAGAUAUAUGGAGGAACACCGGUGGCGAAAGCGGCUCUCUGGCCUGUAACUGACGCUGAGGCUCGAAAGCGUGGGGAGCAGACAGGAUUAGAUACCCUGGUAGUCCACGCCGUAAACGAUGAGUGCUAGGUGUUAGACCCUUUCGGGUUAGUGCGCAGCUACGCAUUAGCACUCGCCUGGGA
This 504-nucleotide ribosomal RNA is filed under the name Streptococcus sp. oral taxon 058. Its description in RNAcentral is "bacterial SSU rRNA". It matches the Rfam family "Bacterial small subunit ribosomal RNA", at positions 376 to 878 of the family's 1533-position model. Lineage: Bacteria; Bacillati; Bacillota; Bacilli; Lactobacillales; Streptococcaceae. The record is from RNAcentral.